GGGCAAGUGGCGGAAUUGGCAGACGCGCGGGACUUAGGAUCCCGUUCCUCAGUGGAGUGAGGGUUCAACUCCCUCCUUGCCCACCA
Molecule: transfer RNA, 86 nt
Filed under: Terriglobia bacterium
Lineage: Bacteria; Pseudomonadati; Acidobacteriota; Terriglobia
Description: tRNA-Leu
Rfam family: tRNA
About the family: Transfer RNA (tRNA) molecules are approximately 80 nucleotides in length. Their secondary structure includes four short double-helical elements and three loops (D, anti-codon, and T loops).
Source: RNAcentral